CCCUUAGAUGUUCUGGGCCGCACGCGCGCUACACUGACGAAUGCAACGAGCUUAUAACCUUGGCCGAAAGGUCUGGGUAAUCUCCAAAUUUCGUCGUGAUGGGGAUAGAUUAUUGCAAUUAUUAAUCUUCAACGAGGAAUGCCUAGUAAGCGCAAGUCAUCAGCUUGCGUUGAUUACGUCCCUGCCCUUUGUACACACCGCCCGUCGCUCCUACCGAUUGAAUGGUCCGGUGAAGCGCUCGGACCGCGGCCUCUUGACGGUUUUCCGUCGAUUGGCUGGGGGAAGUUCGUUAAACCUUAUCAUUUAGAGGAAGGAGAAGUCGUAACA
Molecule: ribosomal RNA, 327 nt
Filed under: uncultured eukaryote
Lineage: Eukaryota
Description: partial 18S ribosomal RNA
Rfam family: Eukaryotic small subunit ribosomal RNA
Source: RNAcentral